Molecule: non-coding RNA, 32 nt
Filed under: Geobacter sulfurreducens KN400
Lineage: Bacteria; Pseudomonadati; Thermodesulfobacteriota; Desulfuromonadia; Geobacterales; Geobacteraceae
Source: RNAcentral
GCCAAAUUCGCAAAAAACGCCACCACGUAAGG